RNAcentral lists this unclassified non-coding RNA (366 nucleotides) under Xanthomonas albilineans. RNAcentral's name for it is "partial 16S-23S ribosomal RNA intergenic spacer". The stretch from base 33 to 106 matches the Rfam family "tRNA". The record is from RNAcentral. Lineage: Bacteria; Pseudomonadati; Pseudomonadota; Gammaproteobacteria; Lysobacterales; Lysobacteraceae.
UCCCGACUGGCUCCACCACUGAUGACGACUUUGGGUCUGUAGCUCAGGUGGUUAGAGCGCACCCCUGAUAAGGGUGAGGUCGGUGGUUCGAGUCCUCCCAGACCCACCACUCUGAAUGUAUCGCACACGAAGAAUUUGAAUGAUUCGGCGCUGAGGCCGGGUCGUGUUCUUUAAUAAUUAGUGAUGUAGCGAACGUUUGAGAACAAUACUCUCGACGUGUCGUUGUGGCUAAGGCGGGGACUUCGAGUCCCUAAAAUUGAGUCGUUAUAGUUCGCGUCCGGGCUUUGUACCCCUGGGCUGAAUAUGACCUUGAGGCAACUUGAGGUUAUAUGGUCAAGCGAAUAAGCGCACACGGUGGAUGCCUUA